RNAcentral lists this ribosomal RNA (460 nucleotides) under uncultured bacterium. RNAcentral's name for it is "partial 16S ribosomal RNA". It matches the Rfam family "Bacterial small subunit ribosomal RNA", at positions 338 to 795 of the family's 1533-position model. The record is from RNAcentral.
CCUACGGGUGGCAGCAGUGAGGAAUAUUGGUCAAUGGACGAGAGUCUGAACCAGCCAAGUAGCGUGAAGGAUGACUGCCCUAUGGGUUGUAAACUUCUUUUAUAUGGGAAUAAAACGUUCCACGUGUGGGAUUUUGUCUGUACCAUAUGAAUAAGGAUCGGCUAACUCCGUGCCAGCAGCCGCGGUAAUACGGAGGAUCCGAGCGUUAUCCGGAUUUAUUGGGUUUAAAGGGAGCGUAGGUGGAUUGUUAAGUCAGUUGUGAAAGUUUGCGGCUCAACCGUAAAAUUGCAGUAGAAACUGGCAGUCUUGAGUACAGUAGAGGUGGGCGGAAUUCGUGGUGUAGCGGUGAAAUGCUUAGAUAUCACGAAGAACUCCGAUUGCGAAGGCAGUUCACUGGACUGCAACUGACACUGAGGCUCGAAAGUGUGGGUAUCAAACAGGAUUAGAUACCCGUGUAGUC